GCGUCAGUGGCCAAAUGGAUUAAGGCACCUGCCUCUUAAGCAGGGGAUUGCGAGUUCGAGUCUCGCCUGACGCACCA
Molecule: transfer RNA, 77 nt
Filed under: Pyrinomonadaceae bacterium
Lineage: Bacteria; Pseudomonadati; Acidobacteriota; Blastocatellia; Blastocatellales; Pyrinomonadaceae
Description: tRNA-Lys
Rfam family: tRNA
About the family: Transfer RNA (tRNA) molecules are approximately 80 nucleotides in length. Their secondary structure includes four short double-helical elements and three loops (D, anti-codon, and T loops).
Source: RNAcentral